This 891-nucleotide long non-coding RNA is filed under the name Homo sapiens (human). RNAcentral's name for it is "HSALNT0063593". Lineage: Eukaryota; Metazoa; Chordata; Mammalia; Primates; Hominidae. The record is from RNAcentral.
UGUUUUGUAACCAGAAUAGAGGAGGUCUCAUGGAAAUUUGAAUGGAGAAAAAUGGAGAGAGAACUCAAUCACAUGGAGUGCAGUAGGAGCCAUGUACCAAACUGAAAAGGCUGUAGUCACAUCAGAGAGUUCACUCAGGCCCUCUUCCAGUCAAUCGCCACACUCCUAGACAAUAGCUGAAGAAUGUGAGAAAGAAAAAUCAAAAGCACACAAAUGAGACUGUGCAGUGAAGAGGCCACAGAGACAACCAUACUGUCUUUUUGUAUCACAAUAAGCAAAAAACAGCGUCUCAGUAUGUUGCUCAGGCUGUUCUUGAACUCCUGGGCUCAAAUCAUCUCCCACCUCAGCCUCCCAAACUGCUGGGUUUACAGGCAUGACCAACUGCACCCAGGCUAUUAAGACCUUCAUGAGAGAAAUGUCCUCGCUAUUCCUGGAGGAAAGGAACAAGAAUGUUCAUAUCCCUGAAGACACAGAAACAUAAAGAAAAAUCUGAACAAACAGGCCUUGCUAAAUUCCCCCCAGUUUAUUGCCAUGAGAUUGUACACUUGUGUUUUCCAAUCAUAUUUCUCCAUGACUGUUCACUCUUCAUCAAACUAAGUAUAAAAAUAUACAUUUACCUGUUUCUUUGGGUCUUUAUUUCUUUAUUAAGGCUCCUAUAUCACAUAAAAUUUACAUUUAAUAAAUUUGUAUGUCUUCAAGUCUGGGCACAGUGGCUGAUACCUGCAAUCCCAGCACCUUGGGAGGCCAAGGCAAGUGGAUUACUUGAGCUCAGGAGUUCAAGCUACCAGGCAGGCCAAGAUGAGAGGAUGGCUUGAGCCCAGGGAGGCAGAUGUUGCAGUGAGCCAAGAUGACACCAUUGCACUCCAUCCUGGGUGACAGAGCCAGAUCCUA